UAUGAACCGUUAUAACCGGCGAUACCCGAAUGGGGAAACCCAGUGUGAUUCGUCACACUAUCAUUAACUGAAUCCAUAGGUUAAUGAGGCGAACCGGGGGAACUGAAACAUCUAAGUACCCCGAGGAAAAGAAAUCAACCGAGAUUCCCCCAGUAGCGGCGAGCGAACGGGGAGGAGCCCAGAGCCUGAAUCAGCAUGUGUGUUAGUGGAAGCGUCUGGAAAGGCGCGCGAUACAGGGUGACAGCCCCGUACACAAAAGCGCAUGUGCUGUGAGCUCGAUGAGUAGGGCGGGACACGUGGUAUCCUGUCUGAAUAUGGGGGGACCAUCCUCCAAGGCUAAAUACUCCUGACUGACCGAUAGUGAACCAGUACCGUGAGGGAAAGGCGAAAAGAACCCCGG
RNAcentral lists this ribosomal RNA (400 nucleotides) under Salmonella enterica subsp. enterica serovar Typhimurium. Its description in RNAcentral is "bacterial LSU rRNA". It matches the Rfam family "Bacterial large subunit ribosomal RNA", at positions 89 to 529 of the family's 2925-position model. The record is from RNAcentral. Lineage: Bacteria; Pseudomonadati; Pseudomonadota; Gammaproteobacteria; Enterobacterales; Enterobacteriaceae.